This is a long non-coding RNA of Rhincodon typus (whale shark), 832 nucleotides long. RefSeq lists it as uncharacterized. The transcript has 5 exons. The record is from RefSeq and is a predicted model, not a curated record. NCBI's taxonomy places the organism in Eukaryota, Metazoa, Chordata, Chondrichthyes, Orectolobiformes, Rhincodontidae.
GAGAGAAGAAAGGAGAAAAAAAGAACGCAACAACAAAGAAAGAAAGAAAGAACGAGAACUGGCGAGCAGAGUGAGCUGCGAAUGGAGCAACUUAACCUGCCACUAUCAAUCCAUAAAGCUGAAACACAAAGGAACUGGGACUUCUCCUGAACCGCUGCUGUUAAAGUUCACUCCAAUUCUGGGGACAACCACUUAAAGCAGGGACAUGGAAGAGUGCCAGAGUCAGAGAUCUUGGGUUAGAACACAUGAUAACCCAUGUGGGAGAGCACCAUUAAAAAUACAGCACACCCUCCGUACUGCAAUAAAUCCCAGCCGAAACGAUUCCUUACUUUCUGAGGCAGUCCCACGGGAUUGAGGAUGACUUUCUUCUGCUCCGGGGUUGUGGGUCCUGAGGUAACUAAACGGUCAAAGAGGAGAUCCACACCUCCUGCCACAGGUAACUCAGAAAAAAAGGGCAGCAGCUUUUUGAGAAAAAAGGAAAAAGAGAGAGACAAAUCAGCUACUGCUGUGGAGAGAAACAGAAAAGGACUGUUCUGCCUUUACAAACAAGUAAGAUGUUUAAUGAGAAUUCAUUUCCUGUUUUAAAGGAAAGGGAUAGAAUCAAUGAGACUUUUGAAGAUUUGAGGAGAAGUGUCACUGAGGUGAGCCUUGCUGGUGAAAGUCAGAUCUAAAAGAUUUGGGUUGAAUGGAACAAUUUUCAAAAGGCACUGAAAGUGAGCCUUCGAGGGAGUUUGGAGUAACUUUGGACUGGUUCUUGUAAGGCUUGACUUCUUCCAAAUAUACAGUGAAAGAGAUACAAGACAUAACUCAGUUGCACUAGUUAGCUAAUGCA